GCUUCUUCAAUGUCCUCUACAAAGUUUUUGGUGCCUUGAAGUUAGUAUGAAGGUAACUGAAUCCGGCUGGUAAAGGAGCCCCAAAUAAAGCAGUGUUGUUUUUUGGGGGGCGCAUGAAUCACGAUGUGAGUCGUGUCCAAAAGGGGGAAUUACCAAUUCCCUGGAGCUCUUUGCUAAAUAUGCAAAUAGAUUUUCUUCCCAUGCCUCCCUGUAAAAGGAAAAAAGAUUGGGUUUGCUGGAUGGCCGGGAUUUCUCCCUAAGAAUUAGCCCUCCGACUCCCCGACCCUGUAACUCUGUGGUUAUGGCGAAGGUGACCACAGAUGGUGGUCUAGAUGCAUGGAAGGGAUCAUUUGACUGAGAACAGUGUAAACCUCAUCCCCUCUAACCGGCUGAAGUAAUGGCAACAAUGGCGUUCACUAUGGUCCUUCUCCACUUCUACCGUGAGAUCUGAAUCCGAGCCAGCAAUCUGUACAAAGCAUCCAGUCGAAGCCAUCAACUGCCUUUUCUCUCAGGAGUGCGACAUGGAUCCAUGUGGAGUGAGCAUGGAGAGAGAUCCCAUCCAAACUUCUCUCAUGCUGCAGGUGUACUGGUAGGAAAAUACAUAAUGGACUGUAAAACACAGUUUUGGCUCAAGUGAGAGAAAAUCGGGACAUUAUCAAGGGCCAUCCACUUUGUGCCACUGGGAGGACGAACUGAAACGCCAGAAGAAUGAAUGCUGGGAGGGAGGAGGGUGGUCAACCAUGCCCGUAAUUAAUUUAGGCUUAUCCAAAAUUGUUCAUUUGGGGUAUCAGGUUAAUUGUAGAGGUCUGCACACUGCGAAAUGUAUAUUACUUUAAACUAGAAAUACAUUGAGAUACCGAUCUUUCCUUAACAUGCCACUCGCAACAAAAGCUCCAGCUGAAAUGUCAUUGCCAGAAUCCAUAAAUGAAAUUGUGUAAUGAAGCAUAUGUGUAACUGUAUGAACCGAAGGUCUAAAGCCAUGGUUUUACAAGGAUUGUAGAACGCAGAAUGAAGGGUUUGAAAUAAUGAAGUGUCUGGUUUUGUGUUGAUUUCCCUUACUUUAAUAGGAGUACAGAACCUUUUGAUAGAAGCUAUAAUCUAAUAUUUAAAUGAAAAUGUAAUGAUAAUUAGCACAGAUUGAGUGCUAAAAAAAAAUGUUUGUGCUUUUCUAAUAACCAAUUUCUGUGCUCAUGCAAGUUACUUAUUGCAGAUAUUGAUGGUGUGGAUUCGUUCAAUUUGGCAGUACGCCCAGACCCUUGUUCUGAGAACGAAAGACCUGUUUCAAGGGCUCAGCUUAGGGAGACGAAGCCUUGUGCAGUAUUGGUCUGUCACAUGCAUGAACUAGUAUUGGUCGGUCACAUGAAUGAAGCAAACGUUAAUGAUGAAUUAAUUAUAAAUGAUGAAUAAGCGAAAUCAUAGAAAUAUAACUGGUCUGCAGAAUAGGGACAGGAACUAAAAGGGACUGCCCCGUUAGAGCUUCUGACAGACGUUCACAAUGGUGCAUCAAGUUUGUUGGAACCGCUCCAGUUAACUGUUGAAGUCAAUCUUAAAUUAUACAUUGAGUGUCCCAUAUGGAAGAAUUUCCACGACAGAACGUUCAAAACAAUAUUGUGACCAAACAUGCAACCCAUGAAUAGGAGGACGGGCUCAUUGUAAUGGCUGGAGCGGAAUAAAUGGAAGUAUCACACAAACAUAUAGAAACCACGUUUGACUCCGUUCCAUCCAUUCCAUUCCAAUGAUCCCGUCCUGCUAUAAAUCCUCCCACCAGUCGCCACUGAUGUAUAGCCUACUUCACUGUGGAAAAAGGGCCACAAUACGUGUCAUGUUAUGAUUUUCAGUUUGCUUCCUUCCAUGACUGGUUUUUGCCUUCUUCUCCCAGGAUCAUAUGGAAAAAUCAUCAAAAACAAUUGCUAUGUUUAUUUACAAUCCCCUUCUCCAAAAGGAUUGCUCAUUUACCUAGCGCUUAUCAAUUUAUAAAUUACAGUUCAUGGAUAUUCUAUCAGAAAAUAUAAAGUAGAUGCUUUGUCUACUUGGAGCCGUCAGGUUCGCUCGACCUUGGGCUCUAUUCAAUCUGUAAAGCUGCUUACAGAUUCCACGCUAUAAAUCUAAAGUGAAUUUCCGAUUGAGCCGACAUAUGCAGCGUUUACCGUGAAUGCAGUCUCUGCUAAAGCAGGAACAUUGCCAUUACAUUUCAGUCACGCUGUAAAGCUGAACUUUUGCAAUGCGGAUUGAAUAUAGCCCCAUUAUUCCUGGUUUCCUCACGCAUAAAGGUGGUGGAAUUAUAAGGGAAUUAAGUCCAGGUCAGAAUAUGGCGUAGCUGUAGCCAUACCUUCGCUACACCUUCAUUUCUGAGAUAUCCACUCCAAACAAAUAGCGGGUGAAUAGUCACUGAGAUGGGGACUAGAGGGUCAAUCUCGCUGAUGUCAAAGAAUGUCUAUUUAUAGCCCUGGUUGCACCUUGCAUUAACAUGUGGUUUUCACGAUCUGAUCAAGAUGAUCCAAUUACUAUCUGUUCAAGGUUCUGUGUCUACUCAUGGUUUUUAAAAUGUCUCUUAUCCUUCCACUGUGUGUAUUGUGACCAGAUUUCCUGGUCCCUCCAUGUAUGAAAAUGAUUUGGCAGUCAGCGGUCAAAAUCCUUUCCAUGCAAUAAUUCAGAGACAAGAUGAUUAAUAAUAAUGACAACAUCAUUCAAUUACCAGACAUGUCAAUCAAUCAUGUAAAAAGAAGUGAGAAAUAUCAUGAAAUAUACGUAAUCACAAUGUUAUUACUAAACAAUGUGAACAUAAAUAUUAGUCCAUCAGUGGUAUUGUAUCUACUGCAUUAUGUACGGUGUUAUGUAGAUCAGAGCAUUCAGAUCGGAGACCCUCGUCACGUACUUUUCACAUUAUAAAUCAAAAAUCAUACAUCCAAACAUUGAGAGAAAAAAGUCCAAACUUCCCAAGUCAUUGUAUCGACAAUUACUAUAUGCCCAUAACAAUGACAUUAAUAGUACAAGGGUCCAAUUCCUUCAAUUAUCUUUCAACCAGCUUAAACUUUAACAUGAACAUUCCCUUUUUCAUUUGUUAAAUCACAAUCACCAAUACGGUCACACUUCCCAUUGACACCAAUGCAGCAGCACAGUUAUCUACGGAGAGAGAAUUUUUUACAACUGGCUAGGACAGAAUACUAUUCAGGGGGGCGGGAAAAAACAAAUCAACUUAAAUUGAUAGGAUUGGUUAGGAUAGACCUAACAACUGCUCCGAAAGACAAAAAUAGAUUAAAAAAAAAUACAAAUUAAUACAUUUCCUGAAAGGCCUUCUCAAUACACACACAUUCAGGAAAUACUGUACACCACUAUUUGAUUAAAACAUCCAUUUGUUGUCCAUUUCAGAAGGCGGCUUACAUUCUCAGCAGCUCCGGGGUAAAACUUCCCCUAGGUACAGAUCUAUAGUAGGAUCGGCUUCCCCUCCCCCAAUCCUAACCUUAAAGGGAUACUUUGGGAUUUUGUCAAUGGGAACCUUUAUCUACUUCUUCCCCAGACUCAGAUGAACUCAAGGAUAGCAUUUGUGUCGCUCUGCGUGCGGUUUGAAGGAAGUUGCUAACUCUAGUUAGCAUUGCCUAGCAGAAACUACCUCCAACUUCGUUCAUACUGGACGCAGAGACCAUUGGUGGGGAAAAUUCUAAACUGACCCUGACCGGCGUCUAGGGGCAACAGCACAAGUAUCCUUCCAGAAUCUGUAGACUACGCAAGUGAAUAUGGAUUUGGAUUUUUAUCUUUCCUUCCCUAAAGUAAUCCCUUCCAUGACCUUCACCGGAUUGUUUGUCCACUCCAGAUUUUAAAAAUAAAGUGAGAAAAACACUGCAAGGGCCUAGAUGGAAACAACUAGUACCUCCCCUACUCACAUUUCCAAUACAAAUACACCGGAAGAGAGAGACUUUGUGAAAUGAAAUCAACAAAAGUAUAAACACACUGCUUGGCCCUAUGCAGUAGCUCUGCAAUCCUUUCCAUUCAUUAAAUCUGAUUAUUUCAGUAUCAUUCUGUUCAUAUAUAAAUAAGGCAAUAGUAAACAUGAUGCACUGCCCUCAUUUGGGCCAAUUGAGAUAAUGCGUGUGACUAAACACAUUUUCGCUUUGGGCCAAUCAGUAUAAUUGAGUAAAUACUGGAUCUCUAUGGCAAGAUACAUCAUUCACCCAAGUUUCAUCAAUACAGGGCCAGUGGCAGUCUGAGAUAUCGCGUCUGACUAACGUAUGAAUGAAAGGACGGACACAGAUCUACAGUCCCCUCUCCAUCGUGGGGUACAAUUAUCUUGGGCAUAUGAAAAGGCUGAACGACACUGUCAACGUGGUUAUACUGUUUCUAUACAAGUAUACAUCACAAUUACUCUGCCUUGCAUACAACACAAAGCGUAAUACAAACUCUCUCCAACCACUAUCAGUUUAACACAUCACCCAACAGUCAGGCAAGCCAGUCUCACCGACUUAUCCCUUUGUGAAUCCUGUCCCUUCGAGUUGUCUUGAACUGAAGCACCUGCAAUUCUCAACCUCCUUGUCCCCACCUCUCACAAACCCCCAUAAUCCUCUGCUCCAUUUGGUGUGAAAUUAACAGAAUGUGUUGACAGGAGAAAGAGAGAGAAAGCAGCUUCAGUCUUGAUAAUGAGCCUGUCGCAGAUGGCUUUGGCCGUGACUCUGUUGCCUGGGGAACAGAACAUCUUCCCUGGGAAAGAUGGAUUGGAAGAGAGGAGGCGAAAGAGUGAGGCAUGGAGGCGUGGAAACAAUGAAAGCUUUCCUCAUCAAUGGAUCAUGACAUGGAGCAAGGACACCAAGUUGACAGUGAACGCUAGGAGGACAAAUUCAGGAGUUGCAUGACUUGCAAGAAGCAGGGCAGGCCUUCAUACACAGGCAAAUAUCUAACACUGGACACAUGCACUUUCCAAAAACAGACACAACCUGGGUCACUUCUCUUUUCAUCAGAAAUAGAUCCAAGUUAGUUUUUUUUUUAACACCUACAUACGGGUAUGUACAUUUAAACAAUGGCUUUACUUCAUCUUUUUUUUUUUUUUGCAGUCUCAUUUGGUAACUAUAAAAAGCGACGUUGUUUCUCGUUGGACAGUCUGCGUGUACGAUUUGGAGUGCCCGAGUCGUGAACUGGAGUCUGAGGGUCUUCUCUUUAGAUAGACAACCUUACAGUUAUAGUCGCAUGUGAUAGCGCAGCUUCUCGAUAAGGCACUGUAAC
Molecule: long non-coding RNA, 5211 nt
Organism: Oncorhynchus kisutch (coho salmon)
Lineage: Eukaryota; Metazoa; Chordata; Actinopteri; Salmoniformes; Salmonidae
Exons: 4
Source: RefSeq, a predicted model, not a curated record